This 2924-nucleotide long non-coding RNA is filed under the name Homo sapiens (human). RNAcentral describes it as "HSALNT0309905". The record is from RNAcentral. Lineage: Eukaryota; Metazoa; Chordata; Mammalia; Primates; Hominidae.
CUUUUUCUCUGUGCAUCCUCAGUGACGCGGGGCACAGCUCUGCCCGGGGGCCUACCAGAGCCCACCUGGACCCCACACUGGGUCAGCCCUGGUGCGGAGGAGGCCGCUGUAGGCGCGGCCAGGUCACAGUCGGCACCAGAAGUUUGGCAGAUCUCAGUGAGGCGUUAGUUUGCAUUUCCUUGUGACGGGUUUUGACUGGAAUGCCAGGCUUAACGUUGCUCAGAAGUUGCUUCUAUGAGGACGUCUCCCAGCAGCUGUCAGUGUUUCCAAUGAGUCAUCGCCAGCCCCUGCAAUGAGCCUCUCAGGCUGGUAAGUUUUGUUUCAGAACCGCUUCCUCAAGCUUCUUUUGCCUUUAAAAGCUUCCUCUUGCCCCAGCCUCCCAGGGAAUGCCUGUGGUCUGUCAUGGCUCACACAUCCUGGUUGAUAAUCCACUGCUGUUCUCCACGGAAUGCCUUCAUUUUGAGAGCUGCUCGCUGCCUGUUGUGGUUUCAGUUGACGGCCCACCGCUGUGUGCAGAGUUCACCAGCCGCUGUGGUGUGCAGUGCAGCAGCUGACCUGCCUGCCUUGUGGUUUUCUAAUCCCAUUGAGGGGACGUCUUAGGUGUUCUCACCAAGAAUGCACAGCAACAGUGCUGGGUGGGCCACAUCCUCCCUCACGUUUGGUGCCACCAGUUUUAUAGAUUUUGGCUACUGUGGGUGUGUGUGGUGGUUUUUGUUGGUGUUUACGACGCAUCUUCCUGGUGCUCGAGUCUGUCGAGCACUUUUUCUUGUGUUUAUUUGCCAUCAUUUGGCGAAGUGUUCAAAUCCUUUGACCGUUGUUUCACCAAGUUGUUUUAUUAUGAAAUUUUAGGGGUUACUUAUUCUGGAUCUCAGCACUUGGAUAAAUAUUUGAGAAUAUUUUUUGCAGUAAGUGACAUCGUUUUAUGUGGAUGAACAGAAGAUUUUAAUUUUGAUAAAGUCUAAUGGAUAUAUGUGAUGUUAGUGUAAUUUGAAUGCAUACAUAUGUAUAUUUAAUGCAUUCUUUUAUGAUGAUUGUGCACUUCAUAUGAAAUGCGGCAACCUUGCCUUGCCAUCCCGGAGGCCUCUGCUUCUCUGAUCUGUGGGUGUCACAGGCACUUCACUUACUCACACCUUAUGGCACGGUUUCUUUUGCUCUAAGCCUGCACGUGUGUUUUAAAGGUAAUUUCUUCCGUUAGAGAAGUCGCGUAGGCUCACCCUGCUAUUUGCCAUUUCUGGAGCUCUUUAUCUCCUUCUUCAUAUCUGCAUUUCCCUCUGGAAUCAUUUCCAUUCAGCCUGAAGAACUCUUCUGCCUGGGACUCCACCUUCUUUUCUAGCAGCUGGGCUCAUUGGGAGCUCUGUCCUCUGGUGGCUCUGGCCAGGGGACGCUGGGUUUUCUCUUAGGGUUUCAGUUGGCCCGUGUGGUGCCAAUGUCAACGUGUCUGUAGGCCAGAGCCAGCAAUGAGCACCCCCUCGGUCUGGCCCUGAGCUCCAAGGCCCCACUCCCACGGGAUCUUGCUGCCAGGACCCCACUCUCUGCAUCUUGUCCAGAGUGUCGAGGAGGGCAGGGUCCAGCGGGAUCUCUCGGCCCUCCCAGGGCUGAGUCUGUGCUCUGACCUUUCCUGGGAGGCACUCAGGGCCAACAGAGCAACAAGGGGCCUUUCCCUGUGGCUCCCUCCCCUCUGGAGAAAAUGGGUCAGACCUGGGUUUCUCCAUAGUCACUGUCCCUAAAAUGAAGCCGGGCUGCCAGAGGCGGUUGCAUCUCCCGGCACCAAGACCCCAGAGUCCCUGUGAGAAAGAGGACCAACGACGAUGGAAGCCUUUCUCUAAUGUGCGCACAGCCAGGCCGCUCCUCUGAAGGCGCUGAGCCGCCUCUAAUCACAGCGCCACACUGGCCACAGGUCGCUGGGUAUAGGAUGAACCCAGCUGUGAAUAGGAUGCAUUUCCUGGGAGGUUUCUGUGAAGUUACUGAACUGCCAAAAGAGAAUGCUUUAAAUAAUUCAGCACAAUCUUUGCAUAAAUCACACCAUUCAGCUGAGGUGCCUGUCAGCAGUCAAGUGAUUGAGAGCACAAACUGUCCCAAAGACACAGCCCCCUUCCCCCUGGAGACGCGCACAGCCUGCAGAAGAGAUGUCACCUGAUGCAGCGUUGUGGUUUAAAAACUCAUUAUGGGAAGCAUGAGGCUGGACCCAGGGGACCCUGGAGGUGAUGCAGGGGCUUUGGCAGCCUGGAAGCUGUUGGAGGAGGGGCCCUUGGUGGAAGUGGGGACAGUUUGAGCCUCCGGCCUCCAAUUCCCUCCCGCUGGCUUCUGGGCCGCACCUCCAGGAAUCCAGCUAGACCCGCAGGGCUCUGACUCCAGACUUUAUUAAAUGUUUCCUCUAACGGUUCUGGCCAUUCUGCUGGGCCAUUAAAGGCUACCCCAGGGCCUCAGAUAUGAGCGUGGUGUCUGUAUGUGGUCCUUUCAUGGAGGGCAGGAAGCAUCAUAAUUACUUUUUUUUUUAACGGUUUUCAAUUUGUGUUGACAAAGAGCCUUAGUGAAUCUGUUGGAAGAAGAGUGACUUCAAAAUGAACCUGACUCCCUGUAUGUUAGGAGUCCAUAUUCUCUGAUACAGUUAACGUUUUCCUUCCAACCUCUUCACUGUUCAAGCAAAGUGGUAUUUUAGCUAUUCACUGUUUGACACUUUAAUAGGAGUUUUGAUGAGCAAUUUCAGGAUGUGGAAUUGCUACACUGCACCAGGUUCCUGCAGGAGCAGCAGCCUCAGCCUGUGGAUGGGACGUGAGAUCUUGGUGUUUCUCCUGGAGGAAACGCUGUGCUGCUGUGUUGAUGACGGGGCGUGUGUGGGGUUGAUGAUGGGUGAUGGAGUGUGGGGUUGGUGACAGGUGACGGAGUGUGGGGUUGAUGACGGGGCGUGGGGUUGAUGAUGGAGU